ACCCAAACCCACCAGCUGGACGAGGAACCACGGGAUGUUAGAAUCAAGUAACUUUGGCCAACAAUCUGAGACACUUGGGAGAAAAUUCAUUCUAAAUCUAACAGCUUCCUGCUCUCAGGAAGGCCUCUGGGCUUCCGGUGCCUCUGGUCCUCCUUGCCGACUCUUCUGUGGAGGCUAGCUUCCUCCAAGCUGACCCCCAGGGAGCCGCCUUCUCGUAGGUGGAAAGCGAAGAGAUGAGAGCGGGUAAGCAGUGGAGACACAAUGGCUGUACUCAGGACCUGUACCAGAGGUGGCAGGAGGACAACCACCGAGCCCUGCUCCACCCAUCGCAGCCUCGAGACCCUCUGCGCGGGGAUGCUGACCCCUGCUGGCCACCUGAGAGAUUGCAGCGUGGCCGACUCCAAGGGGCGGCAAGGGUAAGGGAAAAAGAGUGAGAGAAUUGAGGGCUAUGGAGCCCAAAUCAGCAUGCCUCUAGGACCUACCUGAGCCUCCAAAAGACCCCUCAACAGGAACCGUUGUCCGAACCAACCAACCAACUCCAAACCUAAACCUCAGAGACCUCCUCAUGCAGACAUAAGAUUGCUGACCUAUCUCUGGGGUAGUCAGUUGAAAUACCCCAGAGAUAUUCAGGACCUAAUCCCAGGAACCUGUGGAAGUUUCUUUAAAUGGCAAAAGAAACCUCGAGUGUGUUACCCUAGAUUAUUUAGGUAGAUUCUACAUGUAAUCAGGUAUAUCACCAAAGGGGAACUGAGGUAAAGGAAUAUUUAUUUCACUACAGAACAGAAGGCAAGCCAUCUUGCAGGAGGGCAUGGAGGAGAGAAGGAGAGAGUCAGGAGAGAAGAGAUUCCCUCUACAGUGCCCAGAGUCUCCACUGACACACUGAUUUGGACCCGAUGAAACUAAUUCCAAACUCUGGUGUCAAGAACUUUAAAAGAAUAAAUGUGUGCUGUUUUG
This 954-nucleotide long non-coding RNA is filed under the name Mus caroli (Ryukyu mouse). Its description in RNAcentral is "lncRNA (MGP_CAROLIEiJ_G0004698.1)". Lineage: Eukaryota; Metazoa; Chordata; Mammalia; Rodentia; Muridae. The record is from RNAcentral.